Molecule: ribosomal RNA, 496 nt
Filed under: uncultured bacterium
Lineage: Bacteria
Description: partial 16S ribosomal RNA
Rfam family: Bacterial small subunit ribosomal RNA
Source: RNAcentral
GAUGAACGCUGGCGGCGUGCCUAAUACAUGCAAGUCGAGCGAACGGACGAGAAGCUUGCUUCUCUGAUGUUAGCGGCGGACGGGUGAGUAACACGUGGAUAACCUACCUAUAAGACUGGGAUAACUUCGGGAAACCGGAGCUAAUACCGGAUAAUAUUUUGAACCGCAUGGUUCAAAAGUGAAAGACGGUCUUGCUGUCACUUAUAGAUGGAUCCGCGCUGCAUUAGCUAGUUGGUAAGGUAACGGCUUACCAAGGCAACGAUGCAUAGCCGACCUGAGAGGGUGAUCGGCCACACUGGAACUGAGACACGGUCCAGACUCCUACGGGAGGCAGCAGUAGGGAAUCUUCCGCAAUGGGCGAAAGCCUGACGGAGCAACGCCGCGUGAGUGAUGAAGGUCUUCGGAUCGUAAAACUCUGUUAUUAGGGAAGAACAUAUGUGUAAGUAACUGUGCACAUCUUGACGGUACCUAAUCAGAAAGCACGGCUAACUACGUG